This 301-nucleotide ribosomal RNA is filed under the name uncultured bacterium. Its description in RNAcentral is "partial 16S ribosomal RNA". It matches the Rfam family "Bacterial small subunit ribosomal RNA", at positions 509 to 808 of the family's 1533-position model. The record is from RNAcentral.
CAGUAGCCGCGGGAAGACGAACCGUGCAAACGUUACUCGGAAUCACUGGGCUUAAAGCGCACGUAGGCGGCGACAUAAGUUAGAGGUGAAAUCCCAUCGGCUCAACCGUGGAACUGCCUCUAAUACUGUGUUGCUUGAGGGAGAACGGGGCAUUCGGAACUUCCGGUGGAGCGGUGAAAUGUGUUGACAUCGGAAGGAACGCCGGUGGCGAAAGCGGAAUGCUGGGUCUCUUCUGACGCUGAGGUGCGAAAGCUAGGGUAGCGAACGGGAUUAGAGACCCCAGUAGUCCCUGUCUCUUAUA